GAUGAACGCUAGCGGGAGGCCUAACACAUGCAAGCCGAGCGGGAUUUGUUGGUUCGCUUGCUAACUAACAUUGCGAGCGGCGUACGGGUGAGUAGCACGUGUGCAACCUGCCUUUAUCUGGGGGAUAGCCGUUCGAAAGGAAGAUUAAUACUACAUAACAUAUUGAUUGGCAUCAGAUAAUAUUGAAAGCCCCGGCGGAUCGUGAUGGGCACGCGUAAGAUUAGCUAUUUGGUGAGGGAACGGCUCACCAAGGCUGCGACCUUGAGGUGGCCUGAGAGGGGGACACCCCACACUGGUACUGAGACACAGACUAGACUCGUACGGGAGGCAGCAGUGAGGAAUACAGGACAAGGGGUGAGAGCCUGAUACAGCCAUCCCGCGUGUAGGACUAAGGACCUAUUGUUAGUAAGCUACUUUUAUAGAGGGAUAAUGCUAGUCUCGGGAGAGUAGCUGAAGGUACUGUAUGAGUAAGCACCGGCUAACUCCGUG
RNAcentral lists this ribosomal RNA (489 nucleotides) under uncultured bacterium. Its description in RNAcentral is "partial 16S ribosomal RNA". It matches the Rfam family "Bacterial small subunit ribosomal RNA", at positions 28 to 507 of the family's 1533-position model. The record is from RNAcentral.